This 1039-nucleotide ribosomal RNA is filed under the name Escherichia coli. RNAcentral's name for it is "partial 23S ribosomal RNA". It matches the Rfam family "Bacterial large subunit ribosomal RNA", at positions 210 to 1285 of the family's 2925-position model. Lineage: Bacteria; Pseudomonadati; Pseudomonadota; Gammaproteobacteria; Enterobacterales; Enterobacteriaceae. The record is from RNAcentral.
CCCGAGGAAAAGAAAUCAACCGAGAUUCCCCCAGUAGCGGCGAGCGAACGGGGAGCAGCCCAGAGCCUGAAUCAGUGUGUGUGUUAGUGGAAGCGUCUGGAAAGGCGCGCGAUACAGGGUGACAGCCCCGUACACAAAAAUGCACAUGCUGUGAGCUCGAUGAGUAGGGCGGGACACGUGGUAUCCUGUCUGAAUAUGGGGGGACCAUCCUCCAAGGCUAAAUACUCCUGACUGACCGAUAGUGAACCAGUACCGUGAGGGAAAGGCGAAAAGAACCCCGGCGAGGGGAGUGAAAAAGAACCUGAAACCGUGUACGUACAAGCAGUGGGAGCACAGAGCAAUCUGUGUGACUGCGUACCUUUUGUAUAAUGGGUCAGCGACUUAUAUUCUGUAGCAAGGUUAACCGAAUAGGGGAGCCGAAGGGAAACCGAGUCUUAACUGGGCGUUAAGUUGCAGGGUAUAGACCCGAAACCCGGUGAUCUAGCCAUGGGCAGGUUGAAGGUUGGGUAACACUAACUGGAGGACCGAACCGACUAAUGUUGAAAAAUUAGCGGAUGACUUGUGGCUGGGGGUGAAAGGCCAAUCAAACCGGGAGAUAGCUGGUUCUCCCCGAAAGCUAUUUAGGUAGCGCCUCGUGAAUUCAUCUCCGGGGGUAGAGCACUGUUUCGGCAAGGGGGUCAUCCCGACUUACCAACCCGAUGCAAACUGCGAAUACCGGAGAAUGUUAUCACGGGAGACACACGGCGGGUGCUAACGUCCGUCGUGAAGAGGGAAACAACCCAGACCGCCAGCUAAGGUCCCAAAGUCAUGGUUAAGUGGGAAACGAUGUGGGAAGGCCCAGACAGCCAGGAUGUUGGCUUAGAAGCAGCCAUCAUUUAAAGAAAGCGUAAUAGCUCACUGGUCGAGUCGGCCUGCGCGGAAGAUGUAACGGGGCUAAACCAUGCACCGAAGCUGCGGCAGCGACGCUGAUGCGUUGUUGGGUAGGGGAGCGUUCUGUAAGCCUGCGAAGGUGUGCUGUGAGGCAUGCUGGAGGUAUCAG